RNAcentral lists this small RNA (1137 nucleotides) under Pongo abelii (Sumatran orangutan). Its description in RNAcentral is "retained intron". The record is from RNAcentral. Lineage: Eukaryota; Metazoa; Chordata; Mammalia; Primates; Hominidae.
ACACGAGGUCUGAGAGGGAGAGGCAGCGUGUGUGAGCUGCUUGCUGGUGCGGUGGUCAGCGCGAUGCCCAAGGCCAAGGGCAAAACCCGGAGGCAGAAGUUUGGUUACAGUGUCAACCGAAAGCGUCUGAACAGGAAUGCUCGACGGAAAGCAGCGCCGCGGAUCGAAUGCUCCCACAUCCGACAUGCCUGGGACCACGCUAAAUCGGUGCGGCAGAACCUGGCCGAGAUGGGGUUGGCUGUGGACCCCAACAGGGCGGUGCCCCUCCGUAAGAGAAAGGUGAAGGCCAUGGAGGUGGACACAGAGGAGAGGCCUAAAGAGCUUGUACUGAAGCCCUAUGUGCUGAAUGGUGGGUGUGGUCCAUAUAUUCCUUUAGGUCACUGUCCUGCACUGUGGGAAGCUGGGAAGGGCCCUAAGAUGUCCUCAUUUUGCAGAAACCAAGUUUCAGAGGGGAGAAGUGAGCUGGUUCAAAGUUCACAGAGUUAGGACUGUGUCCUGGCUGGCUCAUUUUUCAUUGUACUGACUAAACCCUGACCUUACUGUGUGAACUAAGGUCAGAGAUGUUUAGGGAGGAUGUACCCAGGUGCCUGGGAGAAUAGAAGAGAAACCAGUAAAUCUCAGGCAUGUGUAUGGCUUCUCAUGAAUUUAAGGAUGAACUGAUUUUUAGGGAUUCCACCAUCUCAAUAAAUGUUUCCAAUGACAAAAUCGAUUUUAUGUAUAUUAAGGCUAUAGAGAGUGAACCCUACAGGAAAGUGGGACUACUCUAGAAUUCUUCAUUCAUCCUUCCCCUUACCUGUCGGGGAGUUUAAGCAGCUCCCCUAAAGAUAAAGGAUUUGAAUGGCCAGAAAUUUGAUACAGAAUUCCUUGAGUUCCUGUCUUUAUCUCAGUGGUUCUCAUAAGAAUUACUGCACAGGAUUGUAUACGCCAAGCCAUGUGCACUUACUGUAGUCAAAGAGAAACAUUUUUCAAAAUGUUAAAUUGUGGUUAAAAAAAUAAUAAAAGUUACCAUCCUAAUCAUUUUUAAGUGUACUGUUCAGUAAAGUAGAUUCACUUUGUUGUGCAACAGCUCCCUAAAACCUUUUCAUUUUGCAAAACUGAAACUAUACCCAUUAAACAACUCCCCAUCUUCCCCUACCU